Long non-coding RNA from Sebastes umbrosus (honeycomb rockfish), 570 nucleotides. RefSeq lists it as uncharacterized. The record is from RefSeq and is a predicted model, not a curated record. The transcript has 4 exons. Lineage: Eukaryota; Metazoa; Chordata; Actinopteri; Perciformes; Sebastidae.
GACAUCAUAAAAAUUCAUUCCACUCAAACGCGGCUCCAUUGGCUGGUGGAUGGAGACAAAGGACAGUAACUGGAUGUUGAGAUGGGCCAUGGGAAGGGCAACAUGUAAACAUGUAAAUUAGGAUCAGUCCUACUUCAGUCCAGAUGGUCCUGAAGCUGUUUGCAUCACCAUUCACCAGACUUCCAUCACAGCAUCUGACAUGCCUCAAAAUUGGUGUCACACAGUUUGACGCAGAUUGCAACCAAGACUUUAUUAGACCCAUCUGACAUAGUGUGACAUGCAAUGAACACAUUCUAAAGACACCUUUUUUUUCCUGCAAUAGCUGCUUUAAUUUGUGCUACAAUGCAUUCUUGGUUAAAACAUGAAUCAACUUUUACUGUAACCUGGCAUAAUUAUUCAACAUAAAUUUCACAUUAUUGCAAUUUUUUGCCUUUAGUAACAGUAUUAUUUCAAAUGUCAUCAUCAAUAUUAGUCCCAGUGUUUGUGAUUCAACACAGGUUUAUUUAUCAAAGCAUAUGGCGUUUAGUUUGUAAUUCAUGUCUCACACCCAGCUUGCAAUAAAGAAUAUGA